GGCCACAAGUGACUUCUCCCACCACAACAAACUUGGACAUGGUGGCUAUGGACCUGUGUACAAGGUGAUAUACAAGCUGUACAUUAAACAUUAAUUAUUUGUGCAAAGAGCCGACAUUGUAUCACUAAUGGUUUAUACUCAACCAGUUUGUCAGUGCUGACAUAAACUCGAAAAGCAGAAAACUGUUACAUAUAUUCCUAAAACCUAAUAAUUGAUAACUAGUAGACGAGUCUGCACGAUACCUGAGUAGGGAGAGCACUGCAGUAUAGUAAAACUCAGUGUUCAUGGUACAUAAUGUGAUUAACUUAGAACCUGGUUGACAUCGCUUUCCCAUGUCUAAAAAUCAGUUUCCCCUUCUUUUUUCUUUUUCUCCUUUUUCUGUUAGAUAGCACAUGUUAGCAUACUAGGAUCCCAACAUCUUUUGAUAUAUAGAAGCAUAAAAGCUGCUGUCAGGAAAAUUAAACAAUGUAGCUUCCAGAACUUAUAAGAAUGGCUGAUACUAUAAACUCUUUUUGAUAAAAUAACAGUAAUCUUUAUUUUCAAAAAAAAACAAAAAACAAUAUUGCCAUUUUUUGACCUACUUGGGUAAUUCACAUGAUUGGGAAAAAAAUAAUCUCAGGGCAACCUGCAAUGCACGACCAAUUGAAGUACAAGUAGCAUUCACCUGUAAGGUGUUUCAAAAAUAUUGA
Molecule: long non-coding RNA, 689 nt
Filed under: Daucus carota (carrot)
Lineage: Eukaryota; Viridiplantae; Streptophyta; Magnoliopsida; Apiales; Apiaceae
Description: long non-coding RNA (DCAR_LNC002850)
Source: RNAcentral